This 253-nucleotide ribosomal RNA is filed under the name uncultured bacterium. RNAcentral's name for it is "partial 16S ribosomal RNA". It matches the Rfam family "Bacterial small subunit ribosomal RNA", at positions 524 to 776 of the family's 1533-position model. The record is from RNAcentral.
UACGAACUGUGCAACCGUUAUUCGGAAUCACUGGGCGUAAAGCGCACGUAGGCGGACUCUUAAGUCGGUGGUGAAAUCCUGGAGCUCAACUCCAGAACUGCCUUCGAUACUGAAGAUCUUGAGUUCGGGAGAGGUGAGUGGAACUGCGAGUGUAGAGGUGAAAUUCGUAGAUAUUCGCAAGAACACCAGUGGCGAAGGCGGCCCACUGGCCCGAUACUGACGCUGAGGCACGAAAGCGUGGGGAGCAAACAGG